Molecule: ribosomal RNA, 158 nt
Filed under: uncultured Tulasnellaceae
Lineage: Eukaryota; Fungi; Basidiomycota; Agaricomycetes; Cantharellales; Tulasnellaceae
Description: partial large subunit ribosomal RNA
Rfam family: Bacterial large subunit ribosomal RNA
Source: RNAcentral
AGGCCCCGACUGUUUACUUAAAACACAGCUUUCUGCAACGAUUAAUAUCUUUGUAUAGGAAGCGAAUUUUGCCCAAUGCCAUUAAUAUAAUUGAAGUUCUGGUCAAUGGCGGUCUUAACCAUGAGGAUCCCUAGGUAGCAAAAUUAAUUGUCCAUUAA